UCCUACACAACAUUCACCAGAG
This 22-nucleotide unclassified non-coding RNA is filed under the name Mus musculus (house mouse). RNAcentral's name for it is "oocyte_clustered_small_RNA11273". The record is from RNAcentral. Lineage: Eukaryota; Metazoa; Chordata; Mammalia; Rodentia; Muridae.